Molecule: non-coding RNA, 23 nt
Filed under: Arabidopsis thaliana (thale cress)
Lineage: Eukaryota; Viridiplantae; Streptophyta; Magnoliopsida; Brassicales; Brassicaceae
Source: RNAcentral
ACCACUGUACAGAUUGAUGCAUC